CGGUAAUUCCAGCUCCAAUAGCGUAUACUAAAGUUGUUGCAGUUAAAAAGCUCGUAGUUGGAUUUCUGCGGGGACGGAGCGGCCGGACGCAACUUGCGUCUCGAGCUAGCGCUUUCCCCACAUCCUGCCGCGAACCGUGCUACCAUUAGCUUGGUGGCGCUGGGGAUCGGCUCGAUUACUUUGAGAAAAAUAGAGUGUUCAAAGCAGGCCACACGCCUUGAAUAAGUUAGCAUGGAAUAAUGAUUAAGGACUUCGGUUCUAUUUUGUUGGUGUUCGGGACUGAAGUAAUGAUUGAUAGGGACAGUUGGGGCGGUCUGUAUUCCAAAGCGAGAGGUGAAAUUCUUAGACCUUCGGAAGACAAACAGCUGCGAAAGCGUUCCGCAAGGAUGUUCCCUUUGAUCAAGAACGAAAGUUGGGGGAUCGAAGACGAUCAGAUACCGUCGUAGUCUCAACUAUAAACUAUACCAGCUAGGGAUCGGCCAACGUUUAACUUUAUCGACUUGGUCGGCACCUUAUGAGAAAUCAAAGCAUCUGGGUUCCGGGGGGAGUAUGGUCGCAAGGCUGAAACUUAAAGGAAUUGACGGAAGGGCACCACCAGGCGUGGAGCCUGUGGCUUAAUUUGACUCAACACGGGAAAACUUACCAGGUCCAGACAUAGGAAGGAUUGACAGAUUGAUAGCUCUUUCUUGAUUCUGUGGGUGGUGGUGCAUGGCCGUUUUUAGUCGGUGAAGUGAUUUGUCUGCUUAAUUGCGUUAACGGACGAGACCCCAGCCUGCUAAAUAGCGCGGCCGAGCUUUGCUCGGUGCGAGCUUCUUAGAGGGACCAUGAUGCGCGAUAGCACAAGGAAGUUUGGGGCAACAACAGGUCUGUGAUGCCCUUAGAUGUUCUGGGCCGCACACGGGCUACACUGGCGCCUGCAACGAGCAUAUCAGCUGGCCCGAGAGGGUCUUGGCUAAUCUUUGGAACCGGCGCCGUGCUUGGGAUUGACCAUUGCAAUUGUUGGUCAUGCAACGAGGAAUGCCUUGUAAACGCGAGUCAUCAGCUCGCAUUGAAUACGUCCCUGCCCUUUGUACACACCGCCCGUCGCUCCUACCGAUGAAUGUUCCGAUGAAAUUUUCGGAGAGCGCCAGAGAACGGGGCUCUGCCUUGCAGAUCUGGAGGCUCAAAGUCACUUAAAUCUGAACAUUUCGAGGAAGGAGAAGUCGUAACAAGGUAACC
RNAcentral lists this ribosomal RNA (1218 nucleotides) under uncultured Rhizaria. RNAcentral's name for it is "SSU rRNA". It matches the Rfam family "Eukaryotic small subunit ribosomal RNA", at positions 577 to 1804 of the family's 1831-position model. The record is from RNAcentral.